GGGAAAGGUUUGACGUUAUUGAAUUUUCGCUGCAGAAGAAUCUGGAGCCUCAUUGAAGAACCAUGGAGUGUGUUCAGUAAAGCAGCAGCUAGAGAGAGCAGCUUAGAGUUCUGGAGGCUGGGAAGUCCAAGGUGAAGAUGCUGGAAGAUUUGGUGUCUGGCGAUGUUACCAAGUCCAAUCUCACUCUGCUCGCUGCAGGACAGGCCACUAAAUCAGAGACGAGGUGUUGAGACAAGGAAGACGACUUUAUUCGGAAAGCCGGCAGACGGAGAAGAUGGCGGACUAGAGUCUGAAAAUAACAAUCUUAUCGGGGUUUGGAUGCCAGUUUCUUUUAUAGCACAGAGAGGGGGAGGAGAUGAGGAAGUAAAGUAAAAAGGCCAUAAGUUUUGCAAAUAUCUCCUGGCAUGGCCAGACUCGGGAAGGGGAUGUGUUAAUUUCUUCUUUCUUGCAGCCACCCACAAGUGGACAGGGUCCGGAUGUUUGUCUGAACAAAGGCACUUCGGUUUAACAUUCAGGCAGAGGGGCAGUGUUCCCCGAGGCAGCCCAUUAUGUAUAGACAGUAUCGUUUUAGUGAACAAGAGCAGCGGAGAGCAAAGGUUAAAGUAAGAGAAACAGAUGCAACAUGUAGUCAGAUGUGGCUCUUCCCUGUUACAGCGAGAGCCUACUUCCUGGUUCAUAGACGGCUGUUUUCUUGCUGUGUUCUCAUGUGGCAGAAGGGGUCAGGGAGCUCUCUGCGGUCUCUUUUAUAAGGACACUAAUCCCAUUCAUGAGGGCUUCACCCUCAUGGCCUAAUUCCCUCUCACAGACCCCACCUCCAAAUGCUAUAACAUUGGGGGUUAGGAUUUCAACAUACCCUUAGAGCGGUAUGAGCCCUCAGGACUGCACUACAGGGUAAACACAACCUCCAUAUGGUGGCAAAUGUAUGUGUCUUUGUUUCCUUUGUGGUUGGAGACAAAGUUGAUGUUUUUGUGUCAUCCCUCCAUUGAGCCCCUCAGGUGCUGAAUAAAUACGAAGUCUCCCUGUG
This is a long non-coding RNA of Aethalodelphis obliquidens (Pacific white-sided dolphin), 1024 nucleotides long. RefSeq lists it as uncharacterized. The transcript is spliced from 2 exons. The record is from RefSeq and is a predicted model, not a curated record. Lineage: Eukaryota; Metazoa; Chordata; Mammalia; Artiodactyla; Delphinidae.